CAAACUUCAAAUCUUGAUGAAUGAAUGAUUGAGGACACUCACAUAAGCUCAUAUAUGCAUAAAAUAAUGAAUGAAAUAAAUUCCCUUGAUUGAAUUUGAUCAUAGGUUGAGGUUGCUUCAUGAGCAAGGCACAGUUGAAGCACAGUUGAAUUAGGGUUUCCUUGGGGAACAAGCCUUUGGUUUAUCUUGAUCAAAUUGGAAAAUUG
Molecule: long non-coding RNA, 206 nt
Filed under: Lathyrus oleraceus (garden pea)
Lineage: Eukaryota; Viridiplantae; Streptophyta; Magnoliopsida; Fabales; Fabaceae
Description: Pisum sativum (pea) long non-coding RNA (PSAT_LNC031058)
Source: RNAcentral